CAGCAGCCGCGGUAAAACGUAGGUGGCAAGCGUUGUCCGGAAUUAUUGGGCGUAAAGCGCGCGCAGGUGGUUUAAUAAGUCUGAUGUGAAAGCCCACGGCUCAAUCGUGGAGGGUCAUUGGAAACUGUUAAACUUGAGUGCAGGAGAGAAAAGUGGAAUUCCUAGUGUAGCGGUGAAAUGCGUAGAGAUUAGGAGGAACACCAGUGGCGAAGGCGGCUUUUUGGCCUGUAACUGUCACUGAGGCGCGAAAGCGUGGGGAGCAAACAGGAUUAGAUACCCGAGUAGUCCCUGUCUCUUAUAC
RNAcentral lists this ribosomal RNA (301 nucleotides) under uncultured bacterium. RNAcentral's name for it is "partial 16S ribosomal RNA". It matches the Rfam family "Bacterial small subunit ribosomal RNA", at positions 509 to 807 of the family's 1533-position model. The record is from RNAcentral.